CCCACACACACUGCAUCCCUCACACAUACCAUUUGUUAUUAUUUCUGGCUGAUACCGGUGUCAGGGUUUCUUUGCUGUUUUAAACAGCCACCCUUCCUUUUUCAGUGUGUUUUUCAGCUGAGAUUAACGAUCAGCUCCUUCAGUAUGUUGCCACGGUUACUCACCUGAUUGUAGUAACCAGCCCUGCUGCUAAUCAGGUAAUUUAAGCAGCAGCAAAGCCCAGUAACUCCUUGCCCUUGUGUGGUUUCCUGUUCCCCAGUAGUCUCCUUGUUCCCGUGUGUUCCUGUUUGUUCCUGUGUGUUCCUGUGUGUUCCUGGUUCCUGACUCUGGCCUUGUUCCUGACUCCGCUGCUCUCUGUUCUCAUGAUCCUGGCUCGUCUGACUACCCGCUCUGGUGACUGACUCCUGCUUUCCUCCUGGACUUUGCUUUUGGUUAUUACUUUAUUUUCUAUUUAUUAAUAAAGGUGUUUUUGCAUCUA
Non-coding RNA from Pelobates cultripes (western spadefoot toad), 478 nucleotides. The record is from the annotation of a GenBank genome assembly. Lineage: Eukaryota; Metazoa; Chordata; Amphibia; Anura; Pelobatidae.